UUGAUUAACCCUGAAGAAUGAAAUCCUCUAGUUAAACACAAAAAAUACAGUACAGGCUUCCCCACACUGUGCCCCUCCAUCACGAUAUGGAAAGACUUGUUCCAGUAGAGAGAGGGUAAACUGCUCCAAAUCCAUUCAGUCAUCUGGCUUCU
This 152-nucleotide small RNA is filed under the name Gopherus agassizii (Agassiz's desert tortoise). Its description in RNAcentral is "TUC338 (ENSGAGG00000022100.1)". The record is from RNAcentral. Lineage: Eukaryota; Metazoa; Chordata; Testudines; Testudinidae.